UCCACAAUGGCCGAGUUGUUAUGGCAUUAGACUCAUUUUCUAAUUCACAUUUGGUGAGCGUGGGUUUGAUUCCCACUUCUGGAU
RNAcentral lists this transfer RNA (84 nucleotides) under Trichonephila clavipes. Its description in RNAcentral is "tRNA-Met". It matches the Rfam family "tRNA". From Rfam's summary of the family: Transfer RNA (tRNA) molecules are approximately 80 nucleotides in length. Their secondary structure includes four short double-helical elements and three loops (D, anti-codon, and T loops). Further hydrogen bonds mediate the characteristic L-shaped molecular structure. tRNAs have two regions of fundamental functional importance: the anti-codon, which is responsible for specific mRNA codon recognition, and the 3' end, to which the tRNAs corresponding amino acid is attached (by aminoacyl-tRNA synthetases). tRNAs cope with the degeneracy of the genetic code in two manners: having more than one tRNA (with a specific anti-codon) for a particular amino acid; and 'wobble' base-pairing, i.e. permitting non-standard base-pairing at the 3rd anti-codon position. Lineage: Eukaryota; Metazoa; Arthropoda; Arachnida; Araneae; Nephilidae. The record is from RNAcentral.